UCGUCAGCCAGAUAGACUGUUCCGUCUUCAAAGCGAUAAGGUUACCACAUUCGUAUCUUCUAUCAUUUUUACCCUUUCAACGUUGCUCUAAUCAAUUUCACGAAAUUCGAUCAGAUACCAUUCGUUCUUCGAUUCGUUUCAUCAAUUUUUCAUUAUCAUCAGAGCGUAGGAUCGAAAUCAAGGGAGGAAAGAAAUGAAGGGGUUGAAAAGCUGCGAGAAGGAUCGUAUCCCUUUAAGCAAUCAAGGAGGAAGCGGUUACUCAUCGUUCAACGAUCUUCGCUGAAUGAGACCAGCCAAGUCAGCAUCGAGGAAGAAUACCGCUUGAAUGAGCUGCUCGGAGCGAAACACGGAUCAAAGAGUAUUGGAAGAGAAGAAUGGUAGACAAAAGAAGAAGAAGAAGGAGAGAAACGAGUGAAACAACGUGUAGCGGAUCUUCUACGCAGGUAUAUACGUAAUGUACACGUACGUGCGGGUCGCGUGUAGGGAUACUCACGUAAUGUAGGCCUGUUCCCGGAGGUACCGUAAGACCUUGCUGUUACGUCACUAGAAGCCACAUGAUUAGGAGAAAAAGGAUACCGACGAGAAGGGAGAACAGAAAACAGGAACCGUACCCUCGGGCUGCACGCAUCUUCCUACUCCGUUCACCGAUAUUUCUUCAUACUAAUUAAUUCCCUUUGUCUUUCAUUUUUCUUCAAUUUUCUUCAAUUUUCUAAUAUUUUAUUAAUGGUAUUGUACGUUUCAAUCAUUUUUCAGUGAUCGCAAGUGGAGAAGACUUUAACAGUUUCUUGGAGUAAUUAAGAAAUGCAAGACUUUUCAACAUAAAAUUUUUGAAAAUUUUUUAAUAGUUCUUCGAAGUUCAGAAAAAUGAAAUUAAAUGAUUUUGAACACAAUAUUCACGUAAUUAAAGUUUCUAAUAAUUUCCAAUAAUUGCAAUUAAUAAGAUAGAGGGUUAUUUGAUUUUUGGAGCAACAGAACAAAAUCUGAAAGUGACCAUCCGUGUCUAAAAUAAGACACACAAGUGGGAAGUUGUAAUCGCAUUUCUGCAGAGGUUGCAGUAAAUUUAGAGGUGCGAAUUGGGCUAAGAGAUCGCGAGCUGAACUGUGUGUGCAAACAAACCUAACCCACUUCAAUUUCCAUCCAUUUCUCGCUUAAUGUCUCCAUCUAAUGUAUUUACAAAAACCUUGAUCCUUUUAAUCCUGUUAUCCUCUACAAACAUAAAUUAGUGCCUAAAUAAAAUAUUCAUCAAGAGACCCGUAACCCUAGGUUAUCCUUUUUGUGACAACACUCUAAUAUGCAAAUUUA
Molecule: long non-coding RNA, 1302 nt
Organism: Osmia bicornis bicornis
Lineage: Eukaryota; Metazoa; Arthropoda; Insecta; Hymenoptera; Megachilidae
Exons: 3
Source: RefSeq, a predicted model, not a curated record